GAGUUUGAUCCUGGCUCAGGAUGAACGCUAGCGGCAGGCUUAAUACAUGCAAGUCGAGGGGCAGCAGCUUUAUAGCAAUAUAGAGGCUGGCGACCGGCAAACGGGUGCGGAACACGUACACAACCUUCCUUGAAUAGGGGGAUAGCCCAUAGAAAUGUGGAUUAAUACCCCGUAAUAUAGCGGUGUGGCAUCACACUGUUAUUAUAGUUUCGGCGAUUCGAGAUGGGUGUGCGGCUGAUUAGGUAGUUGGCGGGGUAAAGGCCCACCAAGCCUUCGAUCAGUAGCUGACGUGAGAGCAUGAUCAGCCACACGGGCACUGAGACACGGGCCCGACUCCUACGGGAGGCAGCAGUAAGGAAUAUUGGUCAAUGGACGCAAGUCUGAACCAGCCAUGCCGCGUGAAGGAUGAAGGUCCUCUGGAUUGUAAACUUCUUUUAUAGGGGGCGAAAAAAGGUCUUCUAGAUCACUGACAGUACCGUAGGUUUUKUCUGCC
RNAcentral lists this ribosomal RNA (493 nucleotides) under uncultured Bacteroidota bacterium. Its description in RNAcentral is "bacterial SSU rRNA". Lineage: Bacteria; Pseudomonadati; Bacteroidota. The record is from RNAcentral.